UAGCAUAUCAAUAAGCGGAGGAAAAGAAACCAACAGGGAUUGCCCUAGUAACGGCGAGUGAAGCGGCAACAGCUCAAAUUUGAAAUCUGGCGUCUUCGGCGUCCGAGUUGUAAUUUGCAGAGGGCGCUUUGGCAUUGGCAGCGGUCCAAGUUCCUUGGAACAGGACGUCACAGAGGGUGAGAAUCCCGUACGUGGUCGCUAGCCUUUACCGUGUAAAGCCCCUUCGACGAGUCGAGUUGUUUGGGAAUGCAGCUCUAAAUGGGAGGUAAAUUUCUUCUAAAGCUAAAUACUGGCCAGAGACCGAUAGCGCACAAGUAGAGUGAUCGAAAGAUGAAAAGCACUUUGGAAAGAGAGUUAAAAAGCACGUGAAAUUGUUGAAAGGGAAGCGCUUGCAGCCAGACUUGCCUGUAGUUGCUCAUCCGGGUUUCUACCCGGUGCACUCUUCUGCGGGCAGGCCAGCAUCAGUUUGGGCGGUUGGAUAAAGGUCUCUGUCAUGUACCUCUCUUCGGGGAGAUCUUAUAGGGGAGACGACAUGCAACCAGCCUGGACUGAGGUCCGCGCAUCUGCUAGGAUGCUGGCGUAAUGGCUGUAAGCGGCCCGUCUUGAAACACGGACCAAGGAGUCUAACAUCUAUGCGAGUGUUUGGGUGUCAAGCCCGAGCGCGUAAUGAAAGUGAACGGAGGUGGGAACCUUUCGGGGUGCACCAUCGACCGAUCCUGAUGUCUUCGGAUGGAUUUGAGUAAGAGCAUAGCUGUUGGGACCCGAAAGAUGGUGAACUAUGCUUGAAUAGGGUGAAGCCAGAGGAAACUCUGGUGGAGGCUCGCAGCGGUUCUGACGUGCAAAUCGAUCGUCAAAUUUGGGCAUAGGGGCGAAAGACUAAUCGAACUAUCU
RNAcentral lists this ribosomal RNA (891 nucleotides) under Xenodidymella asphodeli. RNAcentral's name for it is "LSU rRNA". It matches the Rfam family "Eukaryotic large subunit ribosomal RNA", at positions 36 to 945 of the family's 3401-position model. Lineage: Eukaryota; Fungi; Ascomycota; Dothideomycetes; Pleosporales; Didymellaceae. The record is from RNAcentral.